UACGUAGGGUGCAAGCGUUGUCCGGAAUUAUUGGGCGUAAAGAGCUCGUAGGCGGUUUGUCGCGUCUGCUGUGAAAACCCGAGGCUCAAACCUCGGGCCUGCAGUGGGUACGGGCAGACUAGAGUGCGGUAGGGAGAUUGGAAUUCCUGGUGUAGCGGUGGAAUGCGCAGAUAUCAGGAGGAACACCAAUGGCGAAGGCAGAUCUCUGGGCCGUAACUGACGCUGGAGGAGCGGAAAGCAUGGGAGCGAACAGG
Molecule: ribosomal RNA, 254 nt
Filed under: uncultured bacterium
Lineage: Bacteria
Description: partial 16S ribosomal RNA
Rfam family: Bacterial small subunit ribosomal RNA
Source: RNAcentral